This 346-nucleotide unclassified non-coding RNA is filed under the name soil metagenome. RNAcentral describes it as "partial contains 5.8S ribosomal RNA, internal transcribed spacer 2, and large subunit ribosomal RNA". The stretch from base 1 to 120 matches the Rfam family "5.8S ribosomal RNA", at positions 35 to 154 of the family's 154-position model. The record is from RNAcentral.
GAUGAAGAACGCAGCAAAAUGCGAUAAGUAAUGUGAAUUGCAGAAUUCAGUGAAUCAUCGAAUCUUUGAACGCACAUUGCGCCCGCCAGUAUUCUAGCGGGCAUGCCUGUUCGAGCGUCAUUUCAACCCUCAAGCCCUCGGGUUUGGUGUUGGGGAUCGGCGAGCCUUUCUGGCAAGCCGGCCCCGAAAUCUAGUGGCGGUCUCGCUGCAGCCUCCAUUGCGUAGUAGUAAAACCCUCGCAACUGGAACGCGGCGCGGCCAAGCCGUUAAACCCCCAACUUCUGAAUGUUGACCUCGGAUCAGGUAGGAAUACCCGCUGAACUUAAGCAUAUCAAUAAGCGGAGGA